RNAcentral lists this ribosomal RNA (263 nucleotides) under uncultured bacterium. RNAcentral's name for it is "partial 16S ribosomal RNA". It matches the Rfam family "Bacterial small subunit ribosomal RNA", at positions 793 to 1055 of the family's 1533-position model. The record is from RNAcentral.
GUCCACGCCGUAAACGAUGAAUGCUAGGUGUAGGGGCUUUAAGCUUCUGUGCCGCAGUUAACACAAUAAGCAUUCCACCUGGGGAGUACGGCCGCAAGGUUGAAACUCAAAGGAAUUGACGGGAGCCCGCACAAGCAGUGGAGUAUGUGGUUUAAUUCGACGCAACGCGAAGAACCUUACCAGGUCUUGACAUCCUGAGAACCCGGCGUAAUGGCUGGGGUGCCCUUCGGGGAAUUCAGAGACAGGUGGUGCAUGGUUGUCGU